AGGGCCAGGCUGAGGGCAGGCUGGGCAGGCCAGUGGGGUGGGGCCACCCCAGCAGGUUCUAGGGCCCAGACACAGCUCCAAGGAGGGGCUGACCUGCACCUGAGACCAGGACCCCCGCCUGCCCACGUUACUGAGGAGCCGCUUGCUGCCUGUCGCUGCCCCUGCCCCCGGGAUGCCCUGCCCCUGAACCUCAGAGGAGGCUGCUUUAACAGUGAUGGUGCCGUGACUCAGGUAAGAUCGGAUUCAUGGCUGGACUCCCGGACCUCUCACACCACGGCCCACGUGUACACCCCUGAAGAUUCGGCGCUCGCUCCCGUCUGACUGGGGAUCCAUUGGUGAGCCAACUCCUGAGCCAUGGCUCCGGGUGACAGUCCACUGAAGCAUG
Molecule: long non-coding RNA, 385 nt
Organism: Myotis daubentonii (Daubenton's bat)
Lineage: Eukaryota; Metazoa; Chordata; Mammalia; Chiroptera; Vespertilionidae
Exons: 2
Source: RefSeq, a predicted model, not a curated record